RNAcentral lists this long non-coding RNA (692 nucleotides) under Elaeis guineensis (African oil palm). RNAcentral describes it as "long non-coding RNA (EGUI_LNC075885)". The record is from RNAcentral. Lineage: Eukaryota; Viridiplantae; Streptophyta; Magnoliopsida; Arecales; Arecaceae.
CCAAAGAGAUAUCUAAGAAGCGGAAGAGGGCGACAACAAAGGGCGGAAGCGGAAGCCAGAGUCCGGCAUGGAACGCCUCCUGAUACAGGCAAAAACGACCGGGUGGGGGAGUGCUAGCCCGGUUGGAGGGGUCAGGAAGCUCCACGUCAUACUCCGGAGAAACUCCAUACUGAACCCUUAUCAGUAGGAGUUCAUCCGAAGUCAGGGAACAGGGAAUAGCACCAGACACAAAAACCAGGCGAAGCCCGGUCCCAGGAGUGGGUUCGUCUACAGGAUGGGGCUCCUGGGGGGCUGAGGCGGAAGAACUCCCGGAACCGCUAGAGGCGGAGGUGUCGGAAGAUAUUUUGAAUGAUUUCAAACGAAGACCCUAAAGAUCCCGGAGAAAUCAGGUGGGACAAAGGACGAGAGGUCGUGGGAGACCAAAUUAGAGGAAUGCAACAGAAGAAAAUGGAGGAGAAAAGGCCCCUAAAUGGCAAGAAGAAAAACGAAGGUUCUGGGACUAACCUAGACUGCUCUGAAGGAUGCAGAGGGGCGAGGACAGGGAUGACUCGAAAGACGCUUAGGGCCAAAGAAGACGCCAAGGAGGGUCAGGACUCUCGGAGAAAAGGCGGAUGCUGAUAGAACUUUCAGGCAGAAAGGUGGGUUUAAAUAGACCCUGGGAUCCGGUGCCAUAAUGAUCGUGAAUCCCCCAG